This 249-nucleotide ribosomal RNA is filed under the name Klebsiella aerogenes. RNAcentral's name for it is "partial 23S ribosomal RNA". It matches the Rfam family "Bacterial large subunit ribosomal RNA", at positions 231 to 518 of the family's 2925-position model. The record is from RNAcentral. Lineage: Bacteria; Pseudomonadati; Pseudomonadota; Gammaproteobacteria; Enterobacterales; Enterobacteriaceae.
GAGAUUCCCCCAGUAGCGGCGAGCGAACGGGGAGCAGCCCAGAGUCUGAAUCAGCUUGUGUGUUAGUGGAACGGUCUGGAAAGUCCGACGGUACAGGGUGAUAGUCCCGUACACCAAAAUGCACAGGCUGUGAACUCGAAGAGUAGGGCGGGACACGUGGUAUCCUGUCUGAAUAUGGGGGGACCAUCCUCCAAGGCUAAAUACUCCUGACUGACCGAUAGUGAACCAGUACCGUGAGGGAAAGGCGCA